AGUGAACGCUGGCGGUAGGCCUAACACAUGCAAGUCGAAUGGCCGUUCAGUACGAGCUUGCUCUUAUGGGUGGCGAGUGGAGGCCGGGUGAGGAAAACAACGGACUCUACCUUUUCUUGGGGGAUACCGUAGGGCAUCUUAAGCUAAUACCGCAUACGUCCUACGGGUGAAAGCAGGGACCCUUCGGACUUUGCGCGAUUGAUUGCGCCGAUGUCGGAUUAGCUAGUUGGCGGGGUAAAGGCGCACCAAGGCGACGAUCUGUAGCUGGUCUAUGAGGGUGAUAUGCCACACUGGAACUGGGACACGGUCCAGACUCCUACGGGUCGCAACAGUGGGGAAUUUUGGACAAUGGGCUCAAACCUGAUCCAGCCAUACCGCGUAGGUGAAGAAGGCCUUCGGGUUGUAAAACCCUUUUGUUGGGAAAGAAAAGCAGCAGGUUAAUACCCCGCUGUUCUGACGGUACCCAAAGAAUAAGCACCGGCUGACUUCGUG
RNAcentral lists this ribosomal RNA (492 nucleotides) under uncultured bacterium. Its description in RNAcentral is "partial 16S ribosomal RNA". It matches the Rfam family "Bacterial small subunit ribosomal RNA", at positions 29 to 507 of the family's 1533-position model. The record is from RNAcentral.